UAGGGAAUCUUCCGCAAUGGACGCAAGUCUGCCGGAGCAACGCCGCGUGAGUGAAGAAGGAUUUCGGUUCGUAAAACUCUGUUGUUAGAGAAGAACAGCGCAUAGAGUAACUGUUAUGCGUGUGACGGUAUCUAACCAGAAAGCCACGGCUAACUACGUGCCAGCAGCCGCGGUAAUACGUAGGUGGCAAGCGUUGUCCGGAUUUAUUGGGCGUACAGCGAGCGCAGGCGGUCAAUUAAGUCUGAUGGGAAAGCCCCCGGCUCAACCGGGGAGGGUCAUUGGAAACUGGUUGACUUGGUUGCAGAAGAGGAGGGUGGAAUUCCAUGUGUAGCGGUAAAAUGCGUAGAUAUAUGGAGGAACACCAGUGGCGAAGGCGACUCGCUGGUCUGUAACUGACGCUGAGGCUCGAAAGCGUGGGUAGCAAACAGG
Molecule: ribosomal RNA, 429 nt
Filed under: Bacteroidota bacterium
Lineage: Bacteria; Pseudomonadati; Bacteroidota
Description: Bacteroidetes bacterium partial 16S ribosomal RNA
Rfam family: Bacterial small subunit ribosomal RNA
Source: RNAcentral